GGCUGCGCGCUGGCCUUGGGCCCAGGGCCUUAAGCCAUCGCAAACAUUUACUUCGGGGCCGGCUGAUGGAAGGUUAAAUGUUCAAACCGGGAAACCGCGGGCUGCAUUGGGGGCCGCGGCGGGCGAGGGGCGGGGCGCGGCACGGGGCGCAGCCCCCGGCCGUUCCCGGGUGUCUCUCCCCGGCAGCCCGGGCUGGGCACCAGGCGGCGCGCGGGCUUGUUUGCGGGCGGGGGCUGCAGCCGGGCGGAGACGACCCGCGCCCGCGGGGGUGGGCGGAGGUGGGGCCGGGCUUCCGGACAGAAGCCAAUCGAUGCCCUCGGAGCCUGUAGCGCCGGCCCAGGGCAGAGGCUGCGGGAGCGCGGAAGAGGUGCCGUGGGCUGCCGGGGGGUGCAGGGGGCCGUGGGUAGCGGAGGAAGCCUGGGUGCAGGGGACGGCCGGGGUGCGCAGAGGCUGCCUCAACACCUAGAGGUCUGGGGUGGGGGGGGUUGGCGUACAGCGGGGUGGCGAGGCCGAGGCUGGGUGCUGGGGGAAGGGCGACGGCUUGGAGUGUAGAGGAGGGGUGAGGGGCGUAGGGCGCUGGAGGUCAGAGGUCUCUCAAGCGCGAAGGAGGGGAGGGUUUUGGAGCUCUUGGGGGUGGGUCCGCCGAAUGGGGGCGCCGAGUGCUGGGGAGUACAGGUCCAGGCGCUGCGGGUCGCGGGGACACCGGGGCUGCCCCAGGACUGAGGACAGACGGAGGCGGGGGCGCAGGCUGGGAGGCUGGGGCUUGGGAGCGCGGUCAAAGGCAGAGGCUGUGGUUGCGCGGGGGAAGGGAGACGUGCAGGGCGUGGAACGGAUUCGGGGGCUCUCGGGGAGGAGGGCGAGGGGCGCAGGGGUGGGCCGGGGGGGCCUGGAGUGACGGGGGAAGGGGCGUCUGGCCGGUGGGCGCGGGCAGAAGCAGCGCAACCAAGCUCGGAGGAGGUGCAGAUCCCGGGGUCCGGGAGCUCAGGGGUGGGGCCAGGGAGUGGACGGGGCGGGGUAACCGGGGAGCGCCAGCUGGGGUGGGGAAAGAAGAUGCCCAGAACUCCAAGCAGGUGCGCGGGGCGGCGGGGCGGCUGCUCAUACCGCAGAGGUCGCUCGGGGUUCCGGGGGCGAUGUCGUUGCUGGGCACUUGAGUAAUUAAACGCAGCGGGGUCGCAGGUGACAGCGGGGAGGACAGGGGAUCAAGGGGACCCUGGCCAGAGGGCAGGAGGCUGACCUUGAGCGCCACGGAGGCAGUGCGGGGAGGGCCGGGGUCCCGUGGGGCGCAGUGACACCGGGUGCGUAGCUGGCCGGGGGUGACGCUGGCGGCGCCUGAGGCUCAGGGUGUCGAGACCGCCACGCGGUCGCCCGCAGGCCUGGAAGUCCACGCCGGUUCCUGGAGACGGCGCCUCUGCUCUGAGGGUUCCGUGGUGGGGAAGUCUACCCACUGCACCCCGGCGCCCACUGCACGCGGCCCGGAGGACCAUGUCGGGCCGCCACUGCAGACAGCAUGUCUGUAGGGUUUGAUCAGCUGCAUUUGCUCCCAAGGCACCUGAUGAAAGGGGUUUUCCCUCGUCUUUCUGCUAAUGCAUUUCUUCAUCCUUCACGCAUUCCUUCCCUCCUUUGCACCUACUGUGUUCUUGUGGUCAGGGAAGUAUGUGCAAGGGAGUUCUGGUGGCUGAAGCAUUCCAGUUCCUGGAGAAGAGAGGCAUCGAAACAGGCAGACAGCAUGAAAGGCACCGCCAUGCUUGCAUCAGGAGAGACGGUUUGCAGGAGUGCUGGUUUCUAUGGCGUCCCUCAGAUUUCUUUCAUUGAAGCCUCCUUGUUCGGCCUUCCCAAUUGAAAAGUGCCUCAAAUGUAGCUGGGGUUUGAAAAGCUUGAAACCAGAAGGCACCUCUGGCAUCAUGGUGAAUCGUCAGGGGCCGACUUUGACUUUCCUGGUGGAGAAAACAGUGAAUAACUUUUCAAAGUCUCCUGUGUUGCUGACCUCUGGUUAUUGUUUUUGAAUUAUCAUUUCUGAGACAUCUCUGUGGCAUGGUGGCAGAUUCCUGUGGAUUCCAUCAUAAAUCAAGGACAUGGAUGGAGACCAUAUUCUAUUCCCUCUAGUUACGAAUAAGCCUGGAAAAGACUCAGGAAGGACCACGUUCCACAGGACUCCCAUAGUUCUGAAACAUUCUGCUUUUCUUCACAGAGCAUUUAUAUGAGAAGAGGCUUAAAGAAACCAACAAAAAUAAACGUUUCUCUUUUGGAAGUGAUUAUAGAAAAACCACACCCACCACGAUGAUGUGAUUCAAAGCAUUUGGAACCUACAAUUCAUACUGGAUAUGUCAUUUUUUUAGGAUGAGCUUUAUGAGCUGGAAAAGAAAUGACUUUGAUACCAGAGUAAAAUACAAAAAAUCUAAUUAGAAAAGUUGUUUUUAAACAACUUUUAUUUCUAGUCUUUGGAGACUAACAGAAUGACUUGCAUGGAUAUCCUGUGUAAAAUGUUGGAUAGCAGAAAUGACAGAAUCUAAGAGCACAUUAGUUAACAGUCUUUACUACUGAAACCCCAGUCUGUGUUGAGAAUACAAAAUGGUAAUCAUGUACGCAUUUUAGCACUGUUGUUUUCUAACCUCACUCUCAGCGAUGCCCAGAGGCUACCCUCAUGUCUUUGGGUAGUUUUUUAUUCCCAUUUUUAUUCUUCCCACCCACCCUUAAUCUCCUGUUGCCUAUGAGAGCAAUGGUGGCCAACGUCUUGUACAACAUUAGAUGCCAGAAGUAGGAAAUUGCAAAGCAUGUGAUGUAACUGUUUUCUGUUUGUCUUUGCAUCCACAUUUGCACUGUGAUCACACAGCAAUUUACCUUGAUUGUCUGCAUAGUAUAAGGACCACCUCCGAGCUAACAACGUUCUUUGCUUUAUUUUGAAUCUGUCUUCACCAUCUGUAAUUUUUGGCAUACUAUGGCUAUUUCGAUUAAGUGGAUGCUCCUUUUUGCUAUCCUAUACCCGUAUUUUUCUUCCGCAUUUUUCCCAUUUAUUUUUUGUUUUCUUGGGAGUCUUCUUCUGUCACCAGGCUCACUGUCACAUUGUCUUACCAAUCUCAGGUUAUCCUCCCACUUCCGCCUCCCGAGUAUCUGAGACUACAGAUGUGUGCCACCAUGCCCAGCUAAGUUUUUUGCAUUUUCUUGUAGAGAUGGUGUUUCACAUCUACAAGAUGUUUUCCAGGCUGGUCUCAAACUCCUGGGCUCAAGCGAUCUUCUUGCCUCAGCCUCUUAAAGUUCUGGGAUAACAGUUUAAUUUCCAGGGCGGUAGCUGGAGAAUUGAGAAGGAGAGAGGAAACAGUUGUUAUUGUUGUUGUUUUUCCUUCUGCUCUGCUGGCACCCUGUGGAAAUUCUUAAACAUUUUGGUUAGGAAGAAUUAAUAUCGUGAAAAUGGCUAUACUGCCCAAAGUAAUUUACAGAAUCAACGCUAUCCCCAUCAAGAUACCAUUGACUUUCUUCACAGAACUGGAAAAAACCACCAUGAACUUCAUAUGGAACCAAAAGAGAGCCCGCAUAGCCAAGUCAAUUCUAAGCAAGAA
This is a long non-coding RNA of Callithrix jacchus (white-tufted-ear marmoset), 3554 nucleotides long. RefSeq lists it as uncharacterized. Lineage: Eukaryota; Metazoa; Chordata; Mammalia; Primates; Cebidae. The record is from RefSeq and is a predicted model, not a curated record.